This 440-nucleotide ribosomal RNA is filed under the name uncultured bacterium. RNAcentral's name for it is "partial 16S ribosomal RNA". It matches the Rfam family "Bacterial small subunit ribosomal RNA", at positions 338 to 795 of the family's 1533-position model. The record is from RNAcentral.
CCUACGGGAGACAGCAGUGGGGAAUAUUGCACAAUGGGGGAAACCCUGAUGCAGCGACGCCGCGUGAGUGAAGAAGUAUCUCGGUAUGUAAAGCUCUAUCAGCAGGGAAGAAAAUGACGGUACCUGAUUAAGAAGCCCCGGCUAACUACGUGCCAGCAGCCGCGGGAAUACGUAGGGGGCAAGCGUUAUCCGGAUUUACUGGGUGUAAAGGGAGCGUAGACGGCAGCACAAGUCUGGAGUGAAAUGCCGGGGCUUAACCCCGGAACUGCUUUGGAAACUGUGCAGCUAGAGUGCAGGAGAGGUAAGUGGAAUUCCUAGUGUAGCGGUGAAAUGCGUAGAUAUUAGGAGGAACACCAGUUGCGAAGGCGGCUUACUGGACUGUAACUGACGUUGAGGCUCGAAAGCGUGGGGAGCAAACAGGAUUAGAUACCCCAGUAGUC